GAUGGACGCUGGCGGCGUGCUUAACACAUGCAAGUCGAACGGAAAGGCCUCUGCUUGCAGGGGUACUCGAGUGGCGAACGGGUGAGUAACACGUGGGUGAUCUGCCCUGCACUUCGGGAUAAGCCUGGGAAACUGGGUCUAAUACCGGAUAGGACAAUGGUUUGGAUGCUGUUGUGGAAAGUUUUUCGGUGUGGGAUGAGCUCGCGGCCUAUCAGCUUGUUGGUGGGGUAAUGGCCUACCAAGGCGUCGACGGGUAGCCGGCCUGAGAGGGUGUACGGCCACAUUGGGACUGAGAUACGGCCCAGACUCCUACGGGAGGCAGCAGUGGGGAAUAUUGCACAAUGGGCGCAAGCCUGAUGCAGCGAGGCCGCGUGGGGGAUGACGGCCUUCGGGUUGUAAACUCCUUUCGCUAGGGACGAAGCGUUUUUGUGACGGUACCUGGAGAAGAAGCACCGGCUAACUACGUG
RNAcentral lists this ribosomal RNA (467 nucleotides) under uncultured bacterium. RNAcentral's name for it is "partial 16S ribosomal RNA". It matches the Rfam family "Bacterial small subunit ribosomal RNA", at positions 28 to 507 of the family's 1533-position model. The record is from RNAcentral.